GCACAAGCGGUGGAGCAUGUGGUUAAUUCGAAGCAACGCGAAGAACCUUACCUGGUCUUGACAUCCCGGAGACCCUUAGGAAACUAGGGGGUGCUUCCAUCUGGAAGAAUCUGGAGACAGGUGCUGCAUGGCUGUCGUCAGCUCGUGUCGUGAGAUGUUGGGUUAAGUCCCGCAACGAGCGCAACCCUUGCCUUUAGUUGCCAGCAGUUCGGCUGGGCACUCUAAAGGGACUGCCGGUGUUAAACCGGAGGAAGGUGGGGAUGACGUCAAGUCCUCAUGGCCUUUAUGACCAGGGCUACACACGUACUACAAUGGCCGAUACAAAGGGCAGCGACACUGCGAGGUGAAGCCAAUCCCGUAAAAUCGGUCUCAGUCCGGAUUGGAGUCUGCAACUCGACUCCAUGAAGUUGGAAUCGCUAGUAAUCGUGGAUCAGCAUGCCACGGUGAAUACGUUCCCGGGCCUU
Molecule: ribosomal RNA, 464 nt
Filed under: uncultured Desulfobulbus sp.
Lineage: Bacteria; Pseudomonadati; Thermodesulfobacteriota; Desulfobulbia; Desulfobulbales; Desulfobulbaceae
Description: bacterial SSU rRNA
Rfam family: Bacterial small subunit ribosomal RNA
Source: RNAcentral